CGGCGACCGGCGCACGGGUGAGUAACGCGUAUCCAACCUUCCGUACACUCAGGGAUAGCCUUUCGAAAGAAAGAUUAAUACCUGAUGGUAUGAUGAGAUUGCAUGAUAGCAUCAUUAAAGAUUUAUCGGUGUACGAUGGGGAUGCGUUCCAUUAGGUAGUAGGCGGGGUAACGGCCCACCUAGCCAACGAUGGAUAGGGGUUCUGAGAGGAAGGUCCCCCACAUUGGAACUGAGACACGGUCCAAACUCC
RNAcentral lists this ribosomal RNA (250 nucleotides) under uncultured Bacteroides sp. RNAcentral describes it as "partial 16S ribosomal RNA". It matches the Rfam family "Bacterial small subunit ribosomal RNA", at positions 89 to 339 of the family's 1533-position model. Lineage: Bacteria; Pseudomonadati; Bacteroidota; Bacteroidia; Bacteroidales; Bacteroidaceae. The record is from RNAcentral.